RNAcentral lists this ribosomal RNA (468 nucleotides) under uncultured bacterium. RNAcentral describes it as "partial 16S ribosomal RNA". It matches the Rfam family "Bacterial small subunit ribosomal RNA", at positions 28 to 507 of the family's 1533-position model. The record is from RNAcentral.
GACGAACGCUGGCGGCGUGCUUAACACAUGCAAGUCGAACGGAAAGGCCCUGCUUUUGUGGGGUGCUCGCGUGGCGAACGGGUGAGUAACACGUGAGUAACCUGCCCUUGACUUUGGGAUAACUUCAGGAAACUGCGGCUAAUACCGGCUAGGUGCUGCUGCUGCAUGGUGGGGGUUGGAAAUUUUCGGCGGUUGGGGAUGGACUCGCGGCUUAUCAGCUUGUUGGUGGGGUAGUGGCUUACGCAGGGUUUGACGGGUAGCCGGCCUGGGAGGGUGACCGGCCACAUGGGGACUGAGAGACGGCCCAGAGUCCUACGGUAGGCAGCAGGGGGGAAUAUUGCACAAUGGGCGGAAGCGUGAUUCAGCAGCGCCGCGUGCGGGAUGACGGCCUUCGGGUUGUAAACCGCUUUCGCCUGUGACGAAGCGUGAGUGACGGUAAUGGGUAAAGAAGCACCGGCUAACUACGUG